Molecule: ribosomal RNA, 400 nt
Filed under: uncultured bacterium
Lineage: Bacteria
Description: bacterial SSU rRNA
Rfam family: Bacterial small subunit ribosomal RNA
Source: RNAcentral
CAGGCCUUGACAUCCAAUGAACUUUCUAGAGAUAGAUUGGUGCCUUCGGGAACAUUGAGACAGGUGCUGCAUGGCUGUCGUCAGCUCGUGUCGUGAGAUGUUGGGUUAAGUCCCGUAACGAGCGCAACCCUCGCCCUUAGUUGCCAGCAUUCAGUUGGGCACUCUAAGGGGACUGCCGGUGAUAAGCCGAGAGGAAGGUGGGGAUGACGUCAAGUCCUCAUGGCCCUUACGGCCUGGGCUACACACGUGCUACAAUGGUCGGUACAAAGGGUUGCCAAGCCGCGAGGUGGAGCUAAUCCCACAAAACCGAUCGUAGUCCGGAUCGCAGUCUGCAACUCGACUGCGUGAAUUCGGAAUCGCUAGUAAUCGCGAAUCAGAAUGUCGCGGUGAAUACGUUCCC